This 547-nucleotide ribosomal RNA is filed under the name Cyclommatus mniszechi. RNAcentral's name for it is "partial 16S ribosomal RNA". It matches the Rfam family "Bacterial large subunit ribosomal RNA", at positions 1798 to 2619 of the family's 2925-position model. Lineage: Eukaryota; Metazoa; Arthropoda; Insecta; Coleoptera; Lucanidae. The record is from RNAcentral.
GCCUGUUUAUCAAAAACAUGUCUUUUUGUAUAAUAUAUUAAGUCUGGCCUGCCCAAUGAUUUUAUUCAAUGGCCGCGGUAUUUUGACCGUGCAAAGGUAGCAUAAUCAUUAGUUUUUUAAUUGAAAGCUGGAAUGAAUGGUUUGACGAGAAAAUUACUGUCUCUUUAAGAUAAUUUGAAUUUUAUUUUUUAGUUAAAAAGCUUAAAUAUUUAUAAGGGACGAGAAGACCCUAUAGAAUUUUAUAAUUUAAAUUUUAAUUUUUUAUAGUUUAAGUUGAUUAUUAUAGUUUAAAUUAUUUUGUUGGGGCGACAGGAAAAUUUAUUUAACUUUUUUUUUUUAUUUACAUUAAUUAGUGAAUUUUUGAUCCAAUUUUAUUGAUUAUAAGAGGAAAUUACCUUAGGGAUAACAGCGUUAUUAAUUUGGAGAGUUCAUAUCGAUAAAUUAGUUUGCGACCUCGAUGUUGGAUUAAAAUUAUGUUUAGGUGGAGAUGCUUAAAUAAUAAGUCUGUUCGACUUUUAAAAUUUUACAUGAUCUGAGUUCAGACCGG